This 508-nucleotide ribosomal RNA is filed under the name uncultured bacterium. RNAcentral describes it as "partial 16S ribosomal RNA". The record is from RNAcentral.
GGAGUUAGCCGGUGCUUCUUCUGUGAGUGAUGUCCUUCCUGCCGGAUAUUAACCCGCAGGCCUUCUUCCUCACUGAAAGUGCUUUAAAACCCGAAGGCCUUCUUCACACACGCGGCAUGGCUGGAUCAGGGUUGCCCCCAUUGUCCAAUAUUCCCCACUGCUGCCUCCCGUAGGAGUCUGGGCCGUGUCUCAGUCCCAGUGUGGCUGAUCAUCCUCUCAGACCAGCUACGGAUCGUCGCCUUGGUGAGCCGUUACCUCACCAACCAGCUAAUCCGACAUAGGCUCAUCCGAUAGCGCGAGGCCCGAAGGUCCCCCGCUUUCCCCCGUAGGGCGUAUGCGGUAUUAGCCUGGGUUUCCCCCAGGUUAUCCCCCACUACCGGGCAGAUUCCUAUGCAUUACUCACCCGUCCGCCGCUCGCCACCAGGGAGCAAGCUCCCCGUGCUGCCGCUAGACUUGCAUGUGUUAGGCCUGCCGCCAGCGUUCAAUCUGAGCCAGGAUCAAACUCUGA